UCUAGGGGGCGUAGCUAUACGUCACCGGCGGACGGGUGCGUAACACGUGGGAAUGUACCUAGUGGUUCGGAACAACGUAGGGAAACUUGCGCUAAUACCGGAUGAGCCCGUAAGGGGAAAGAUUUAUCGCCACUAGAUCAGCCCGCGUAGGAUUAGCUAGUUGGUAGGGUAACGGCCUACCAAGGCGACGAUCCUUAGCUGUUCUGAGAGGAAGAUCAGCCACACUGGGACUGAGACACGGCCCAGACUCCUACGGGAGGCAGCAGUUGGGAAUCUUGGACAAUGGGGGAAACCCUGAUCCAGCCAUGCCGCGUGAGUGAUGAAGGCCUUAGGGUUGUAAAGCUCUUUUACCCGGGAAGAUAAUGACUGUACCGGGAGAAUAAGCUCCGGCUAACUUCGUGCCAGCAGCCGCGGUAAUACGAAGGGGGCUAGCGUUGUUCGGAAUUACUGGGCGUAAAGCGUGCGCAGGCGGUCUCUCAAGUCAUGGGUGAAAGCCCAGAGCUCAACUCUGGAAAUGCCCUUGAAACUGUGAGGCUCGAGUGCGGGAGAGGUGAGUGGAAUUCCCAGUGUAGAGGUGGAAUUCGUAGAUAUUGGGAAGAACACCGGUGGCGAAGGCGGCUCACUGGCCCGUUUCUGACGCUCAUGCACGACAGCGUGGGGAUCAAACAGGAUUAGAUACCCUGGUAGUCCACGCCGUAAACUAUGGACGCUAGCCGUUGGGUAGCUUGCUAUUCAGUGGCGCAGCUAACGCAUUAAGCGUCCCGCCUGGGGAGUAC
This 776-nucleotide ribosomal RNA is filed under the name uncultured bacterium. Its description in RNAcentral is "bacterial SSU rRNA". It matches the Rfam family "Bacterial small subunit ribosomal RNA", at positions 62 to 883 of the family's 1533-position model. The record is from RNAcentral.